UACGUAGGGACCGAGCGUUGUCCGGAAUCAUUGGGCGAUAAAGAGCGUGUAGGCGGCCUGGUAAGUCCGCUGUGAAAGCCCAGGGCUCAACCCUGGGAGGCGGGUGGAUACUACGGAACUGGAGUACGGAAGAGGAGAUUGGAAUUCCUGGUGUAGCGGUGAAAUGCGCAGAUAAUCAGGAGGAACACCGGUGGCGAAGGCGGGUCUCUGGGCAGUAACUGACGCUGAGGAGCGAAAGCGUGGGGAGCGAAACAGG
RNAcentral lists this ribosomal RNA (256 nucleotides) under uncultured bacterium. RNAcentral's name for it is "partial 16S ribosomal RNA". It matches the Rfam family "Bacterial small subunit ribosomal RNA", at positions 524 to 776 of the family's 1533-position model. The record is from RNAcentral.